UGCGAGUGAAGUGGGAAGAGCUCAAAUUUGAAAUCUGGCAGUCUCUGGCUGUCUGAGUUGUAAUCUAGAGAAGUGUUACCUGCGCUGGACCGUGUACAAGUCUCCUGGAACGGAGCGUCAUAGAGGGUGAGAAUCCCGUCUCUGACACGGACUGACCAGGGCUUUGUGGUAUGCUCUCGAAGAGUCGAGUUGUUUGGGAAUGCAGCUCAAAAUGGGUGGUAAACUCCAUCUAAAGCUAAAUACCGGCGAGAGACCGAUAGUGAACAAGUACCGUGAGGGAAAGAUGAAAAGAACUUUGGAAAGAGAGUUAAACAGUACGUGAAAUUGCUGAAAGGGAAACGCUUGAAGUCAGUCGCGUUGGCUGGGGAUCAGCCUCACUCGUUUGUGUGGUGUAUUUCCCAGUUGACGGGUCAGCAUCAAUUUUGACCACUGGAGAAAGGCUUGAGGAAUGUGGCAGCCCUGGCUGUGUUAUAGCUUCUCGUCAGAUACGGUGGUUGGGAUUGAGGUGUGCAGCACGCCGUAAGGCCGGGGGCUUUUGAACCCACGUCCGUGCUUAGGAUGUUGACAUAAUGGCUUUAAGCGACCCGUCUUGAAACACGGACCAAGGAGUCUAACAUGCCUGCGAGUGUUUGGGUGGAAAACCCGUGCGCGCAAUGAAAGUGAAAGUUGAGAUCCCUGUCGUGGGGAGCAUCGACGCCCGGACCUGAACUUUUGGGAUGGAUCUGCGGUAGAGCAUGUAUGUUGGGACCCGAAAGAUGGUGAACUAUGCCUGAAUAGGGCGAAGCCAGAGGAAACUCUGGUGGAGGCUCGUAGCGAUUCUGACGUGCAAAUCGAUCGUCAAAUUUGGGUAUAGGGGCGAAAGACUAAUCG
RNAcentral lists this ribosomal RNA (870 nucleotides) under Leucocoprinus gongylophorus. Its description in RNAcentral is "LSU rRNA". It matches the Rfam family "Eukaryotic large subunit ribosomal RNA", at positions 88 to 937 of the family's 3401-position model. The record is from RNAcentral. RNAcentral also lists the same sequence under 1 other name. Lineage: Eukaryota; Fungi; Basidiomycota; Agaricomycetes; Agaricales; Agaricaceae.